Long non-coding RNA from Solanum pennellii, 308 nucleotides. RefSeq lists it as uncharacterized. Lineage: Eukaryota; Viridiplantae; Streptophyta; Magnoliopsida; Solanales; Solanaceae. The transcript is spliced from 3 exons. The record is from RefSeq and is a predicted model, not a curated record.
UCAAACUCCAAGAUUGCAUCUUUGCUGACUGGGGAAUUUCUAUUUAGAGGAUUGACACAAAAUGGCCAAAAAGUUAUAUUACCUGCAAAAUCUUUAUUAAAAACUAGAGGUGGAGAUAUUACUACCUAACAAAACCUUAUAAGCAAGAGCGGAGCUAGGAGGACACAAGGGAGGUUCAUGCAAACUGCCUUAGAUGUGAAAACUCAGACUCCACCACUACGCACAGACAACUUAAACAGUUUCACUUACAUAUUAGGAGACCAAACAAGUGUUCUGUCUCCUGGUAUUUGUGCAAACCAAAUUGCCAA